UGGGGGAUAUUGCACAAUGGGGGAAACCCUGAUGCAGCGACGCCGCGUGGAGGAAGAAGGUUUUCGGAUUGUAAACUCCUGUCGUUAGGGACGAUAAUGACGGUACCUAACAAGAAAGCACCGGCUAACUACGUGCCAGCAGCCGCGGUAAAACGUAGGGUGCAAGCGUUGUCCGGAAUUACUGGGUGUAAAGGGAGCGCAGGCGGGAAGACAAGUUGGAAGUGAAAACCAUGGGCUCAACCCAUGAAUUGCUUUCAAAACUGUUUUUCUUGAGUAGUGCAGAGGUAGAUGGAAUUCCCGGUGUAGCGGUGGAAUGCGUAGAUAUCGGGAGGAACACCAGUGGCGAAGGCGGUCUACUGGGCACCAACUGACGCUGAGGCUCGAAAGCAUGGGUAGCAAACAGGAUUAGAUACCCUGGUAGUCCAUGCCGUAAACGAUGAUUACUAGGUGUUGGGGGAUUGACCCCCUCAGUGCCGCAGUUAACACAAUAAGUAAUCCACCUGGGGAGUACGACCGCAAGGUUGAAACUCAAAGGAAUUGACGGGGGCCCGCACAAGCAGUGGAGUAUGUGGUUUAAUUCGAAGCAACGCGAAGAACCUUACCAGGUCUUGACAUCCGAUGCAUAACACAGAGAUGUGUGAAAUCCUUCGGGACAUCGAGACAGGUGGUGCAUGGUUGUCGUCAGCUCGUGUCGUGAGAUGUUGGGUUAAGUCCCGCAACGAGCGCAACCCUUAUUGCCAGUUACUACGUUAAGAGGACUCUGGCGAGACUGCCGUUGACAAAACGGAGGAAGGUGGGGAUGACGUCAAAUCAUCAUGCCCUUUAUGACUUGGGCUACACACGUACUACAAUGGCGUUAAACAAAGAGAAGCAAGACCGCGAGGUGGAGCAAAACUCAGAAACAACGUCCCAGUUCGGACUGCAGGCUGCAACUCGCCUGCACGAAGUCGGAAUUGCUAGUAAUCGCAGAUCAGAAUGCUGCGGUGAAUACGUUCCC
RNAcentral lists this ribosomal RNA (997 nucleotides) under uncultured bacterium. RNAcentral describes it as "bacterial SSU rRNA". It matches the Rfam family "Bacterial small subunit ribosomal RNA", at positions 355 to 1375 of the family's 1533-position model. The record is from RNAcentral.